Molecule: long non-coding RNA, 820 nt
Filed under: Lonchura striata (white-rumped munia)
Lineage: Eukaryota; Metazoa; Chordata; Aves; Passeriformes; Estrildidae
Description: domestica (Bengalese finch) lncRNA (ENSLSDG00000007023.1)
Source: RNAcentral
GUCCCCUGUGUCCCCAGGUGCUGUCCGGGGCGGUGGUGGCACUCCUGUCCCCCCCGUGACCCGUCCGUGUCCCCUGUGUCCCCAGGUGCUGUCCGGGGCGGUGGUGGCACUCCUGGCCCCCCCGUGACCCCUCCGUGACCCCUCUGUGACCCGUCCGUGUCCCCUGUGUCCCCAGGUGCUGUCCGGGGCGGUGGUGGCACUCCUGUCACCCCCUGCGCCCCCCACCCUGGCCCCGGCGCUGCUCCAGACCCUGGCGGGGGCGGCGGCCCUGGGGGGGCUCCUGCUGCGGGACCCCCCCCGGCUGCCCCCCGGCUACGGCACCUGCCUGGACCUGCUCCGGGCCAUCAGUGGGACCCUCAUCUUCCUCGUGGCGGCCCUGGUGGCCUUGGCCUCGUCCCGUGACGCCCUGGCUGCCACCACCUUCACCUUCAGCCUCCUCCUGGCCUUGGUCUUCGCCUUCGACACCUUCGUCACCUUCCGCACGCGGGUGGCCCCGGCCCUGGGACAGGAUCCUGACAUGGAGGGCCACUGAUGGUCACCACCCCCCACACUGUCUCAUUGUCUUCUGGUCCAGUCCGCCAUCCCCCACCCCAAAAAUUAAACCUUGUCCCACACCUGGUGCUGCUCAGGGUCGUGUUUUUGGGGUGGGGUGGCCGAGGGGACAUUGUGUCCCUCCUGUGGCUCAUGAACGGGUUAAUGACGGCAUUGGGGUCCCCUCGUCUUGGACAGGGGGUAGGGGGUGUCACUGGUGGGGAGAGGGUCCACUGUGGGGUUGGGAGUCACUCAUGAUGGUGAGACCAUCAUCAUCAUCAUGGGUCCA